Molecule: ribosomal RNA, 497 nt
Filed under: uncultured bacterium
Lineage: Bacteria
Description: partial 16S ribosomal RNA
Rfam family: Bacterial small subunit ribosomal RNA
Source: RNAcentral
GAUGAACGCUGGCGGCGUGCCUAAUACAUGCAAGACGAGCGAACAGACGAGGAGCUUGCUCCUCUGACGUUAGCGGCGGACGGUUGAGUAACACGUGGAUAACCUACCUAUAAGACUGGGAUAACUUCGGAAAACCGGAGCUAAUACCGGAUAAUAUAUUGAACCGCAUGGUUCAAUAGUGAAAGACGGUUUUGCUUUCACUUAUAGAUGGAUCCGCGCCGCCUUAGCUAGUUGGUAAGGUAACGGCUUACCAAGGCGACGAUGCGUAGCCGACCUGAGAGGGGGAUCGGCCACACUGGAACGGAGACACGGUCCAGACUCCUACGGGAGGCAGCAGUAGGGAAUCUUCCGCAAUGGGCGAAAGCCUGACGGAGCAACGCCGCGUGAGUGAUGAAGGUCUUCGGAUCGUAAAACUCGGUUAUUAGGGAAGAACAAAUGUGUAAGUAACUAUGCACGUCUUGACGGUACCUAAUCAGAAAGCCACGGCUAACUACGUG